Pelobates cultripes (western spadefoot toad) is the source of this 398-nucleotide non-coding RNA. Lineage: Eukaryota; Metazoa; Chordata; Amphibia; Anura; Pelobatidae. The record is from the annotation of a GenBank genome assembly.
UAGAUAGAUAGAUAGAUAGAUAGAUAGAUAGAUAGAUACAUACUGUAUGGCUAGAUAGAUAGAUAGAUAGAUAGAUACUGUAUGGCUAGAUAGAUAGACAGAUAGACAGACAGACAGACAGAUAUGUAGAUAGAUAGAUAGAUAGAUAUUGUCAAAUGGUUGUUUAAAAUGUUAUGCUAUCCAUUGUCCAUUUAUUCUGUAAUAAAAUUAACUUUUAUUUUUACAGUGUGUAUGCUAAUACAUAGUUUUGAAAAAUAAUACUUUUUAAAAUAUUGUAAAAUAUUAGACACAGACUCAUAUUAAUAAAAAUACACCAGGAAACAUUAUCAAUGCAGUGUUCCUUGUACCUACUGUAACUUCAUUUCCAACUCUAACUUCAUUUGCUGUGUAUAUGCAAG